RNAcentral lists this transfer RNA (73 nucleotides) under Heterostelium pallidum. Its description in RNAcentral is "tRNA-Phe". It matches the Rfam family "tRNA". Rfam says of the family: Transfer RNA (tRNA) molecules are approximately 80 nucleotides in length. Their secondary structure includes four short double-helical elements and three loops (D, anti-codon, and T loops). Lineage: Eukaryota; Evosea; Eumycetozoa; Acytosteliales; Acytosteliaceae. The record is from RNAcentral.
AAUUAGGUAACUCAGUAGGUAGAGUGAAAGACUGAAAAUCUUUAAGUCGGUGGUUCAAGUCCACUCCUAGACA